UAAUAGCGUAUAUUAAAGUUGUUGCAGUUAAAAAGCUCGUAGUCGGAUGUCGGGCUCGGGCAGGCUGUCGGCUUCGGUCGGACGGCAGGCUCGGGUCUUUCUGCCUGAGGAUCCCGUUGCACUUAAUUGUGGGGCGUGGGGACGCAGGCCGUUUACUUUGAAAAAUUAGAGUGUUCAAAGCAGGCCUACGCUUGAAUACAUUAGCAUGGAAUAAUGGAAUAGGACUAUGGUCUCUUUGUUGGUUUGAGGGACUGCAGUAAUGAUUAAUAGGGAUAGUUGGGGGCAUUAGUAUUUAAUUGUCAGAGGUGGAAUUCUCAGAUUUGUUAAAGACUAACUUAUGCGAAAGCAUUUGCCAAGGAUGUUUUCAUUAAUCAAGAACGAAAGUUAGGGGAUCGAAGAUGAUUAGAUACCAU
RNAcentral lists this ribosomal RNA (413 nucleotides) under uncultured eukaryote. Its description in RNAcentral is "bacterial SSU rRNA". It matches the Rfam family "Eukaryotic small subunit ribosomal RNA", at positions 592 to 1018 of the family's 1831-position model. The record is from RNAcentral.